CUCAUCCACUGAUACUUCAGGCCCAGGGUUGUAGAGGUAUGGCCUCAUCCACUGUUACUUCAGGCCCAGGGUUGUAGAGGUAUGGCCUCAUCCACUGUUACUUCAGGCCCAGGGUUGUAGAGGUAUGGCCUCAUCCACUGUUACUUCAGGCCCAGGGUUGUAGAGGUAUGGCCACAUCCACUGUUACUUCAGGCCCAGGGUUGUAGAGGUAUGGCCUCAUCCACUGUUACUUCAGGCCCAGGGUUGUAGAGGUAUGGCCACAUCCACUGUUACUUCAGGCCCAGGGCUGUAGAGGUAUGGCCUCAUCCACUGUUACUUCAGGCCCAGGGCUGUAGAGGUAUGGCCUCAUCCACUGUUACUUCAGGCCCAGGGCUGUAGAGGUAUGGCCUCAUCCACUGUUACUUCAGGCCCAGGGUUGUAGAGGUAUGGCCUCAUCCACUGUUACUUCAGGCCCAGGGUUGUAGAGGUAUGGCCUCAUCCACUGUUACUUCAGGCCCAGGGCUGUAGAGGUAUGGCCUCAUCCACUGUUACUUCAGGCCCAGGGUUGUAGAGGUAUGGCCUCAUCCACUGUUACUUCAGGCCCAGGGUUGUAGAGGUACGGCAGACGCUCCACCCACUUCUCCCAGACCUCUCUUAUGGCCGUCAGUUUGUCUCUCACAUGUUUUGCAGGUCUUGACUCACGGUUAUCAAAUCGUAGCAUUCUUGAGAAAGUGUGAAAGACUUUCAGUGGCAUCAUGGCAUGGAAAAUCACCCUUCCACUCUCUGCAUCCCAGAGACUACAUGUAGCCUCACCUCGAGACCUAUACACACCCGCUAAGAUUAGCAGCCCUAUGUAGACACGCAGGUCAAUCUCAUCCAUCCUUUUCCAGUUGUCUCCAUAUUUACAGAAACCCUCCAAAAAUGAUUUUUUCGAUGGCUGGUGUGAUGAGCAUGUAGAAUGUUGAGCCGAUCUCCUGGGCCUAGGCAACUGCACGUCUUGUGGGUCCUGGGGUCAUCCUUAUGACAUUUUGUGCUGCCAUCCUGCCCUGGUUGUCAUACAGUGACAAGGACCAUGUUAUUUUGCUGUUCAAGUUGAAAAAUAUCAUUUAGUGGGUUUUCUCUGCUGUUAACAUAGUGGCAGGUCAUUUUUUACCCUUAAGACAACGCAAGGGGUAAGAGCCAAAGAACUGAGGCUACAGAGACACCCCACAAAUGACUGGCCAGACCACCACACACCCCUGCAGUACACUCCUCUCCCCACCCGCCAUGUACUCACACACACACCUACAAUUUAGGCAAGAUCUAGGCCUGUAUUCACAAAUUUUCCGAGUAGGAUCACUGAUCUAGGAUUACUGACCAGGGCCCCCUUGUCCAUGUAAUUAGCAGCAAGCCUAUCAGAGGGUAAGGUGGAGCCCUCACCAUGUCACCACCCAUCAAUCACUCUCAGGCUAGGAGUUGUCUGGACACGAUUCUCCACUGAAAGAGCUUAAUCUGAGCCCGGGACACAGACCCAUUGAGAACAACAAGCAGUUAGAUUGUAUUGUUUGGUCCUGUGUGGAUCAGUUGAUAGUGGUACAGCAUGGCACUUGCAACGCCAUGGUUGUGGGUUUCGAUUCCCAAAGGUCCAACACAAAAAAAGUUUGAAAAUGUAUGCAUUCACUACUGUAAGUUGCUCUGGAUAAGAGCGUCUGAUAAAUGACUGAAAUGUAAUGUCAGACAAACGCCAAUUUAAAUGUAAUUUAACGUAUAAAAUGAAAACUGGCUUAUUACAUGAGAAAGGCUGUAAAACAUGACCAUGUUAUAAAAACACUGCAGCAAUUACUCAACUUGCAUGACAGAAUUACACUAGAAUGACGUAGCACACUUCACAGACAGGAAGACCAUUACUGAUUGAGAAGAAAUCUCAAAGCGCUUAAAAACACUAAAU
RNAcentral lists this long non-coding RNA (1906 nucleotides) under Salmo salar (Atlantic salmon). RNAcentral's name for it is "lncRNA (ENSSSAG00000082004.1)". The stretch from base 1631 to 1684 matches the Rfam family "UnaL2 LINE 3' element". The record is from RNAcentral. Lineage: Eukaryota; Metazoa; Chordata; Actinopteri; Salmoniformes; Salmonidae.